RNAcentral lists this ribosomal RNA (1328 nucleotides) under Sarcophaga antilope. RNAcentral's name for it is "16S ribosomal RNA". The stretch from base 1075 to 1234 matches the Rfam family "Archaeal large subunit ribosomal RNA", at positions 2544 to 2703 of the family's 2987-position model. The record is from RNAcentral. Lineage: Eukaryota; Metazoa; Arthropoda; Insecta; Diptera; Sarcophagidae.
AUUAUUUUUUAUUUAUUAAUUAAUUUUUUUUUUUUAUUAAAUUAUUAAAAGUAAUUAUUUAGUGAUUUGUUUAAGUAUUUUAUAAAGAAAAAAUAAUUUUAAUUAUAGUUAAAUAGUAUUGUGAAAGAAAAUUGAAAUACAUUGAAAAAUUAAUAUUUAAAAAGAAAAUUUAAUUUAUUGUACCUUGUGUAUCAGGGUUUAUCUAAUAAAAAUUAUUGAUGUUAAUUUUCUCGAUUUUAAAAGAGUUAAUAUAUUAUAAGAGUUAAUGUGACAAAAUUAUUUUAUAUAAUAUAUUAGAAAUGAAAUGUUAUUCGUUUUUAAAGGUAUCUAGUUCUUUAAGAAAUAAAUUUAAUUUAGAAAUUUCAUAUUAUUUAAUUAAGUAUAUUAAUUAAAUAAUUGUUUUAUUUUAAUAUUUUAUGGGAUAAGCUAUGAAAUAAAUUAUUAAAAAUUAUUAAAUAAUUUAAUAAAUAUAAGCUUAGAAAUAGCUAUUAUUGGUGAAAGUGUUAUAAUUUAUUUUAUUUUGAUGAUUAUUUAUUAAAUUUUAAUUAUGUAUUAAAGUAUUUAUUUUAAUUAUAAAAAUGAAAAAAUAAUGAUAAAAUUAGUAUAUUAUAUUGUAUGAAUAAUAAUAAUUGAAAAGUUUUUAUAAAGAACUCGGCAAAAAUAAUGUUCGCCUGUUUAACAAAAACAUGUCUUUUUGAAUUUUUUUUUAAGUCUAGCCUGCCCACUGAAUUAUUUAAAUGGCCGCAGUAUACUAACUGUGCAAAGGUAGCAUAAUCAUUAGUCUUUUAAUUGAAGGCUGGUAUGAAUGGUUGGACGAGAUAUUAACUGUUUCAUAUAAAUUUAUAAUAGAAUUUUAUUUUUUAGUUAAAAAGCUAAAAUAAAAUUAAAAGACGAGAAGACCCUAUAAAUCUUUAUAUAUGAAUUAUUGGAAUUUUGUAGAUAGGUUUUAUUAUAAUAAUUAAUUAUAUUUUAUUGGGGUGAUAUUAAAAUUUAAUAAACUUUUAAUUUUUUUUUAACAUUAAUUUAUGAAUAAUUGAUCCAUUUAUAGUGAUUAAAAAAAUAAGUUACUUUAGGGAUAACAGCGUAAUUUUUUUGGAGAGUUCAUAUCGAUAAAAAAGAUUGCGACCUCGAUGUUGGAUUAAGAUAUAAUUUUAGGUGUAGUCGCUUAAAUUUUGAGUCUGUUCGACUUUUAAAUUCUUACAUGAUCUGAGUUCAAACCGGCGUAAGCCAGGUUGGUUUCUAUCUUUAAUAAAUAAAAAUAUUUCAGUACGAAAGGACCUAAUAUUUAAUAAAUAAUUAUUUUAAAAUUGAAUAUAAUUAAUGUACAC